This 206-nucleotide ribosomal RNA is filed under the name Cryptosporidium parvum. RNAcentral describes it as "partial 18S ribosomal RNA". It matches the Rfam family "Eukaryotic small subunit ribosomal RNA", at positions 321 to 532 of the family's 1831-position model. The record is from RNAcentral. Lineage: Eukaryota; Apicomplexa; Conoidasida; Eucoccidiorida; Cryptosporidiidae.
UUAAACGGUAGGGUAUUGGCCUACCGUGGCAAUGACGGGUAACGGGGAAUUAGGGUUCGAUUCCGGAGAGGGAGCCUGAGAAACGGCUACCACAUCUAAGGAAGGCAGCAGGCGCGCAAAUUACCCAAUCCUAAUACAGGGAGGUAGUGACAAGAAAUAACAAUACAGGACUUUUUGGUUUUGUAAUGGAAUGAGCCCCAAAAACG